AAGUUGCAAAAGAUGUAAUUUCACUACAUUGUGUACUUGCUUUAAAAAUAUUUUCUUCCAGUUUUCAGAGCAGCACAAAAGCUAAUUUAAUACAUAAGAAAUGUUUUUCAUGACUGCUCAUGAACAUUGACCGCAUAAACAAACUGUGGCAUUUCCAUACAAUGGAAUACCACUCGGCAGUAAGAAGCAAGGAGCUAUGGACGCACUACAACAUGGACGAAUCCCAAAAUAACUAUGCUGAAGGAAAGAAGUCAGGCAAAACAGAGUACACACUGUGUGAGAAUGCAAAAUAUUCGUAGAGAAAGAAAGCAGAUCAGUGGGUGCCUGGUGAGGGGAAGGAGUGGGAGGGAAGGAUUAUAGUCGGGUAGAGCCAUGUGGCUGAACACUCAGCAACAGAAUGUGAGUGAAAAUGAUGUAGAGUCCUUUCUGGGUAUUGCUCAUAAAAACAUCCCACACAACCCUCGCUCUAUCUUCCUUCCCAUCCUCUAGCUGAAUGGAGAGAACUUAGAGGAGGGCAGAGCCACCAGAUAAAGGGGAACUGGAUCCCUGAAAGACUGCCUGAAGCCAAGUCCCCUUCGACUGGCACUGGACUGUGACAUGAACAAGAACUAAACUAUUAUAGGAUUAAACCCCUGACAUGUUGGGAUUGUUUGUUACAGCAGUAAGCCAACCCUGACUAAUGCAUAGUCCUCUGUAAUCUCCCUGCCAGAAGAUAGCUGUCUGGUCCCCUCAAAGGAAAGCUCCACUGGAGGGCUCAGACGCCUCCCUGAGCCUUGCGAAUUGGGCUCAGCACUGACAAGAGAGAGGCCAGCCACGGGAGGAAGCAGUCUAUAUUGCUGGGCCAGUGUUCUCAUAAACUCACUGGGCAACUCCCGAAAGGGCUGGAGAAGGAGACUGCCUGAUAGCCACCGAAGGAGCCACCUGCUCACCAGGCUUUUAAGAGGUUCUUCUGUAGUGAAGCCCUUUUGGUAAAUGCUCAUCUGGGACACAAAUAACCUUAUACUCUGAAACUAUACUGGGCAGUUUAUGCAUAUUUGUCUUCCUCAAUGCUUCCUGUCACUAAGCCUUCAGUCUGUUUCUUCCCAAGUCUCUGACUAACAGACUAGCCCAUGAUCCAACGCCCAGAAAUCAGUGUGUCUUUACUUCAAGGCCGCUGCGCGCACUUCCGUCUUCUAGCUCCCUCAGGAGGAAGACUGGAACACCCGAGCAAUCCACUUCUGGCUAAAGCCAGCAAAUUGGACAGAGCUCUCUGUAAACUUGGCUUUAGAUUUUUCUUCCUCAGUCAACUCAUCACAAACAACUCUCUACGAGACCACAAACACGAACAUCGAACAUCGGUAGCAGGAGAGGAAUGUAACGACUUGUUCAGGCAACCUGUUUGUGCCUCUAGGGCUUGCUGGACCCAGGCCAUAUAUGUCACCUCCUCUUGAUGAUGGACUACUGCUGGCCACCCCUGAUUUUAUGGCGGGGUGGAUC
RNAcentral lists this long non-coding RNA (1476 nucleotides) under Equus caballus (horse). RNAcentral's name for it is "lncRNA (ENSECAG00000057870.1)". Lineage: Eukaryota; Metazoa; Chordata; Mammalia; Perissodactyla; Equidae. The record is from RNAcentral.